AUACUUACCUGGCAGGGGAGAUACCAUGAUCACGAAGGUGGUUUUCCCAGGGCGAGGCGUGUUCCUACGAUGUGCUCCUGGCCUGCAGUCCGGGAGAGCUGAAUAAAACUCCUCCUGAAGCUUUUCUGCAGCCUGAAGAGAUGGAUUUCAGG
RNAcentral lists this small nuclear RNA (152 nucleotides) under Camelus dromedarius (Arabian camel). RNAcentral describes it as "U1 spliceosomal RNA (ENSCDRG00005015099.1)". It matches the Rfam family "U1 spliceosomal RNA". Rfam says of the family: U1 is a small nuclear RNA (snRNA) component of the spliceosome (involved in pre-mRNA splicing). Its 5' end forms complementary base pairs with the 5' splice junction, thus defining the 5' donor site of an intron. There are significant differences in sequence and secondary structure between metazoan and yeast U1 snRNAs, the latter being much longer (568 nucleotides as compared to 164 nucleotides in human). Lineage: Eukaryota; Metazoa; Chordata; Mammalia; Artiodactyla; Camelidae. The record is from RNAcentral.